UUCCAAAGAAUACCUCACUGGUUGUGUCAUAUACAAGAAAAUUUUGAAUUGUUUCCACAAUUAAGACACUGACUCCUAAUCAAGUGUGUUAACCAUGUGUUGGCGAUACAGUGAUGAAUUACACAGACAUUGACUGCAUCAGUUUGAUAUAAAUAAGUAACCCAUGUUACGAUGGAGAACCAUCUCCACUGCAUGCCUGAAAAUAACUCUACAACUCCUUUUAAUAUAUUUAAGCCCAUGAAGCGAUCUGUCAACUGGAUUUUUUUCCUUGGAGACCUCUCCAUCCUCCUGCUCUGAUCUGGAAGCAUUGCUCUCUAAGCCUGCUGCAGGUGUGUCCUCCUGGAAGUUUCCUUCACCUUCAAAGUGAAAGUACCCUUUCCCCCUUUCUUAUGUGGAAUUCUCCUUCUCCUGGCUCCUGGAUCUCCUUUGUUCUUGGCUUAUUCCCUGAUUAAUCACCCUCCAUAACUUCCUGAGAAAAUAAAAUAUGUUGAAGAAUCAUUUUCACAAAGGCAAAAUUAUGACUUAUGGAAACAGAAAAUGAAUACAUGUCAAAGUCAGAUGUC
Molecule: long non-coding RNA, 563 nt
Organism: Homo sapiens (human)
Lineage: Eukaryota; Metazoa; Chordata; Mammalia; Primates; Hominidae
Exons: 3
Source: RefSeq, a predicted model, not a curated record